UACGGAGGGUGCGAGCGUUGUCCGGAAUCACUGGGCGUAAAGGGCGCGUAGGCGGCGCGGGAAGUCCGUGGUGAAAGCCCGAGGCUCAACUUCGGGUCGGCCAUGGAUACUCCUGGGCUUGAGCACUGUAGAGGCAGGUGGAAUUCCGGGUGUAGCGGUGGAAUGCGUAGAGAUCCGGAAGAACACCGGUGGCGAAGGCGGCCUGCUGGGCAGUAGCUGACGCUGAGGCGCGACAGGCGUGGGGAGCAAACAGG
This 254-nucleotide ribosomal RNA is filed under the name uncultured bacterium. Its description in RNAcentral is "partial 16S ribosomal RNA". It matches the Rfam family "Bacterial small subunit ribosomal RNA", at positions 524 to 776 of the family's 1533-position model. The record is from RNAcentral.